Molecule: long non-coding RNA, 995 nt
Filed under: Ursus maritimus (polar bear)
Lineage: Eukaryota; Metazoa; Chordata; Mammalia; Carnivora; Ursidae
Description: lncRNA (ENSUMAG00000020685.1)
Source: RNAcentral
GACCAGGCGGAAUAAUCUCUCCCGGGGGGGAGGGGGGGUCUGGUGGGGGGAGCCGGCGACCCCUGGACGUGGCCGGGACUACAUUUCCCAAGAUGCUCUGCGCCUGGGUUUCGUUCGGCGCUGAGUAGCGACCCGGGAUUGAGCUCUUCGUUGACAAUUGGAAGUGCUUUUAUCACUUUGGACCUAAUGGAUAAAGAAAGGAGCCAUAUGCCUCCAGAAGACUGCUCCCUUGGUCAUAAGAGAGAACAUCUGAAGGACCGUCUAAGGCUUCACGGGGGAGGACCUGAUUGCCAGAGUCGAUGAGGUUUGCCCUCCAGGUUUCGGGGAAUGGAUUCUACCAUGAUGAAGAGGCUCACCAUGUGCAGAGCUGCUCAGCUGACAUGUCUGUGGGAAGAAGAAAAAAAUGUUCUCUUCAAAGGAAUCAAUUUUUGUGGUUACACAUUUGGGUGUUUGGGUUGACAUUGGCCAGUUCCUUCUGAAACCUGAAAACUUCUUUAAGUUCCCCCCAUCAUGUUAAUUCGUAGGAAGUUGACAUCUUUAAAAAGCUGUGGGGGGAAAACAUCACUUAUAAAACCACAUAACACUAUCCUAUGUACACACACUAUAUGACAUCAUGGUUUAAGUUCUAAAUACAGGGAAUAGCUCUUUUAGAUUUAAUGCUAAGAUGUGGGUUUGGGUGUGAUUAUAGGAUAGAGAAAUAGAUACUUUCCUUGUCCAUAAUUAGUUGCAAUUCCUUAUUGUGUUUAAAAUCAACACAAACAAACUUAUGUUCCAUUGACUGCCCUUUUGUGUUAAUUGUAAAGUUUCUAGCUGAGGACUUGUAGAAGAAAUCAGAUGAGGAGUGGUAGAAUUACUGAGAUGCCUAUGAUGGUUUCACUGUAUUGAUUUGCUUUUUCAUUUUUCAUUGAUCCAUCUCUCUGUCCAUCGGUGGCUGGGAUGAAACCUUAGAGAUUUGUUCAUGAAUAAACUAUCCUGCUGAUGGGGAAGGAUUUGCA